UAGCCCUAAACGAUGCGCGUUAGGUGUAUCGGUGACCACGAGUCACCGAGGUGCCGAAGGGAAACCGUGAAACGUGCCGCCUGGGAAGUACGGUCGCAAGGCUGAAACUUAAAGGAAUUGGCGGGGGAGCACUACAACGGGUGGAGCCUGCGGUUUAAUUGGACUCAACGCCGGGAAGCUCACCGGAUAAGACAGCGGAAUGAUUGCCGGGCUGAAGACCCUGCAUGACCAGCUGAGAGGAGGUGCAUGGCGUAGACGUCU
Molecule: ribosomal RNA, 261 nt
Filed under: uncultured archaeon
Lineage: Archaea
Description: partial 16S ribosomal RNA
Rfam family: Archaeal small subunit ribosomal RNA
Source: RNAcentral